Molecule: ribosomal RNA, 2921 nt
Filed under: Staphylococcus aureus VET1738S
Lineage: Bacteria; Bacillati; Bacillota; Bacilli; Caryophanales; Staphylococcaceae
Description: bacterial LSU rRNA
Rfam family: Bacterial large subunit ribosomal RNA
Source: RNAcentral
UUAAGUUAUUAAGGGCGCACGGUGGAUGCCUUGGCACUAGAAGCCGAUGAAGGACGUUACUAACGACGAUAUGCUUUGGGGAGCUGUAAGUAAGCUUUGAUCCAGAGAUUUCCGAAUGGGGAAACCCAGCAUGAGUUAUGUCAUGUUAUCGAUAUGUGAAUACAUAGCAUAUCAGAAGGCACACCCGGAGAACUGAAACAUCUUAGUACCCGGAGGAAGAGAAAGAAAAUUCGAUUCCCUUAGUAGCGGCGAGCGAAACGGGAAGAGCCCAAACCAACAAGCUUGCUUGUUGGGGUUGUAGGACACUCUAUACGGAGUUACAAAGGACGACAUUAGACGAAUCAUCUGGAAAGAUGAAUCAAAGAAGGUAAUAAUCCUGUAGUCGAAAAUGUUGUCUCUCUUGAGUGGAUCCUGAGUACGACGGAGCACGUGAAAUUCCGUCGGAAUCUGGGAGGACCAUCUCCUAAGGCUAAAUACUCUCUAGUGACCGAUAGUGAACCAGUACCGUGAGGGAAAGGUGAAAAGCACCCCGGAAGGGGAGUGAAAUAGAACCUGAAACCGUGUGCUUACAAGUAGUCAGAGCCCGUUAAUGGGUGAUGGCGUGCCUUUUGUAGAAUGAACCGGCGAGUUACGAUUUGAUGCAAGGUUAAGCAGUAAAUGUGGAGCCGUAGCGAAAGCGAGUCUGAAUAGGGCGUUUAGUAUUUGGUCGUAGACCCGAAACCAGGUGAUCUACCCUUGGUCAGGUUGAAGUUCAGGUAACACUGAAUGGAGGACCGAACCGACUUACGUUGAAAAGUGAGCGGAUGAACUGAGGGUAGCGGAGAAAUUCCAAUCGAACUUGGAGAUAGCUGGUUCUCUCCGAAAUAGCUUUAGGGCUAGCCUCAAGUGAUGAUUAUUGGAGGUAGAGCACUGUUUGGACGAGGGGCCCCUCUCGGGUUACCGAAUUCAGACAAACUCCGAAUGCCAAUUAAUUUAACUUGGGAGUCAGAACAUGGGUGAUAAGGUCCGUGUUCGAAAGGGAAACAGCCCAGACCACCAGCUAAGGUCCCAAAAUAUAUGUUAAGUGGAAAAGGAUGUGGCGUUGCCCAGACAACUAGGAUGUUGGCUUAGAAGCAGCCAUCAUUUAAAGAGUGCGUAAUAGCUCACUAGUCGAGUGACACUGCGCCGAAAAUGUACCGGGGCUAAACAUAUUACCGAAGCUGUGGAUUGUCCUUUGGACAAUGGUAGGAGAGCGUUCUAAGGGCGUUGAAGCAUGAUCGUAAGGACAUGUGGAGCGCUUAGAAGUGAGAAUGCCGGUGUGAGUAGCGAAAGACGGGUGAGAAUCCCGUCCACCGAUUGACUAAGGUUUCCAGAGGAAGGCUCGUCCGCUCUGGGUUAGUCGGGUCCUAAGCUGAGGCCGACAGGCGUAGGCGAUGGAUAACAGGUUGAUAUUCCUGUACCACCUAUAAUCGUUUUAAUCGAUGGGGGGACGCAGUAGGAUAGGCGAAGCGUGCGAUUGGAUUGCACGUCUAAGCAGUAAGGCUGAGUAUUAGGCAAAUCCGGUACUCGUUAAGGCUGAGCUGUGAUGGGGAGAAGACAUUGUGUCUUCGAGUCGUUGAUUUCACACUGCCGAGAAAAGCCUCUAGAUAGAAAAUAGGUGCCCGUACCGCAAACCGACACAGGUAGUCAAGAUGAGAAUUCUAAGGUGAGCGAGCGAACUCUCGUUAAGGAACUCGGCAAAAUGACCCCGUAACUUCGGGAGAAGGGGUGCUCUUUAGGGUUAACGCCCAGAAGAGCCGCAGUGAAUAGGCCCAAGCGACUGUUUAUCAAAAACACAGGUCUCUGCUAAACCGUAAGGUGAUGUAUAGGGGCUGACGCCUGCCCGGUGCUGGAAGGUUAAGAGGAGUGGUUAGCUUCUGCGAAGCUACGAAUCGAAGCCCCAGUAAACGGCGGCCGUAACUAUAACGGUCCUAAGGUAGCGAAAUUCCUUGUCGGGUAAGUUCCGACCCGCACGAAAGGCGUAACGAUUUGGGCACUGUCUCAACGAGAGACUCGGUGAAAUCAUAGUACCUGUGAAGAUGCAGGUUACCCGCGACAGGACGGAAAGACCCCGUGGAGCUUUACUGUAGCCUGAUAUUGAAAUUCGGCACAGCUUGUACAGGAUAGGUAGGAGCCUUGGAAACGUGAGCGCUAGCUUACGUGGAGGCGCUGGUGGGAUACUACCCUAGCUGUGUUGGCUUUCUAACCCGCACCACUUAUCGUGGUGGGAGACAGUGUCAGGCGGGCAGUUUGACUGGGGCGGUCGCCUCCUAAAAGGUAACGGAGGCGCUCAAAGGUUCCCUCAGAAUGGUUGGAAAUCAUUCAUAGAGUGUAAAGGCAUAAGGGAGCUUGACUGCGAGACCUACAAGUCGAGCAGGGUCGAAAGACGGACUUAGUGAUCCGGUGGUUCCGCAUGGAAGGGCCAUCGCUCAACGGAUAAAAGCUACCCCGGGGAUAACAGGCUUAUCUCCCCCAAGAGUUCACAUCGACGGGGAGGUUUGGCACCUCGAUGUCGGCUCAUCGCAUCCUGGGGCUGUAGUCGGUCCCAAGGGUUGGGCUGUUCGCCCAUUAAAGCGGUACGCGAGCUGGGUUCAGAACGUCGUGAGACAGUUCGGUCCCUAUCCGUCGUGGGCGUAGGAAAUUUGAGAGGAGCUGUCCUUAGUACGAGAGGACCGGGAUGGACAUACCUCUGGUGUACCAGUUGUCGUGCCAACGGCAUAGCUGGGUAGCUAUGUGUGGACGGGAUAAGUGCUGAAAGCAUCUAAGCAUGAAGCCCCCCUCAAGAUGAGAUUUCCCAACUUCGGUUAUAAGAUCCCUCAAAGAUGAUGAGGUUAAUAGGUUCGAGGUGGAAGCAUGGUGACAUGUGGAGCUGACGAAUACUAAUCGAUCGAAGACUUAAUCAA